UAAGUGAGUACUUGCAUUCUCAGUGCUUUGAUAUCCCUCAGAACUAGUUCGACAAUCACUAUACUAUAACAUUUGUCUUAGGAGCCAUGAAAACUCCUACCCUGACAUGUCUCACUUGAGUCUUCUUCCAAUGGCAAUAAUGAGUAACGAAAUUAUUUUUUCCAGCCAUAAAAAAUGUUUGAUGGUAUCCUCUAGACUUUCAAAUCUUCACUCAUGAAGACAUUUGUUUCACAUAAAUCUUCCCG
RNAcentral lists this long non-coding RNA (245 nucleotides) under Brassica napus (rape). RNAcentral describes it as "long non-coding RNA (BNAP_LNC018559)". Lineage: Eukaryota; Viridiplantae; Streptophyta; Magnoliopsida; Brassicales; Brassicaceae. The record is from RNAcentral.